Molecule: non-coding RNA, 115 nt
Organism: Acanthosepion pharaonis
Lineage: Eukaryota; Metazoa; Mollusca; Cephalopoda; Sepiida; Sepiidae
Source: the annotation of a GenBank genome assembly
UUACAGCCAUAUCACGUUGAAACACCGGUUUCCCGUACGAUCACCGAAGUUAAGCAACAGUGAGCCUGAUCAGUACCUAGAUGGGUGACUGCUUGGGAAUGCCCGGUGUUGUAAG